Molecule: ribosomal RNA, 370 nt
Filed under: uncultured organism
Description: bacterial SSU rRNA
Rfam family: Bacterial small subunit ribosomal RNA
Source: RNAcentral
CGUAGGGUGCAAGCGUUAAUCGGAAUUACUGGGCGUAAAGCGUGCGCAGGCGGUUAUGUAAGACAGAUGUGAAAUCCCCGGGCUCAACCUGGGAACUGCAUUUGUGACUGUAUAGCUAGAGUACGGCAGAGGGGGAUGGAAUUCCGCGUGUAGCAGUGAAAUGCGUAGAUAUGCGGAGGAACACCGAUGGCGAAGGCAAUCCCCUGGGCCUGUACUGACGCUCAUGCACGAAAGCGUGGGGAGCAAACAGGAUUAGAUACCCUGGUAGUCCACGCCCUAAACGAUGUCAACUGGUUGUUGGGUCUUCACUGACUCAGUAACGAAGCUAACGCGUGAAGUUGACCGCCUGGGGAGUACGGCCGCAAGGUUG